Molecule: ribosomal RNA, 253 nt
Filed under: uncultured bacterium
Lineage: Bacteria
Description: partial 16S ribosomal RNA
Rfam family: Bacterial small subunit ribosomal RNA
Source: RNAcentral
CACGUAGGAUCCGAGCGUUAUCCGAAUUCACUGGGCGUAAAGGGCUAGCAGGCGGCCGGAAAAGUUGGAUGUGAAAUCUCCUGGCUCAACUGGGAGAGGCCGUUCAAGACUAUCUGGCUCGAGGGCGAUAGAGGGAGGUGGAAUUCCAGGUGUAGUGGUGAAAUGCGUAGAUAUCUGGAGGAACACCAGUGGCGAAAGCGGCCUCCUGGAUCGCACCUGACGCUGAGAAGCGAAAGCUAGGGGAGCAAACGGG